This 361-nucleotide long non-coding RNA is filed under the name Pan troglodytes (chimpanzee). RNAcentral's name for it is "long non-coding RNA NONPTRT004915". The record is from RNAcentral. Lineage: Eukaryota; Metazoa; Chordata; Mammalia; Primates; Hominidae.
CACUGGAGAUAGGUGAAGAAUGGAUUGGAGAGGGCAAGAAGAGACACUAGGAAAGCUUCGCCAUCACCCUGGCAAAAGAUGAUGCAAAUGAACCAAGACAGGUGCUGAGGACGGUGGGGGAGGGAGGCAGGCCUCACCUCCACCCCCAGGACCAGAACCCCCUUCCCCAUGAAGAAUAUUCUGCAUCACACAUGAACUUGAAGGAGAAGGAAAGCUUAACAGAAAAUAAGCAAUCAAGGACCAUUUGAACCUCCAUGUUGGGAAAUGAGAUGAAGAGGUAAAAAAGCGAAGUGUGUACCCAAGAUUACAGCUAAACUAGGACUUGAACCCAUGUCUGUCUGAAGUCCGAGCUGAAACUUUG